UACGUAGGGGGCAAGCGUUGUCCGGAUUUACUGGGCGUAAAGAGCGUGUAGGCGGCCAGGUAGGUCAGCUGUGAAAACUCGAGGCUCAACCUCGAGACGCCGGUUGAAACCAUCUGGCUAGAGUCCGGAAGAGGAGAGUGGAAUUCCUGGUGUAGCGGUGAAAUGCGCAGAUAUCGGGAAGAACACCCGUGGCGAAGGCGGUUCUCUGGGACGGUACUGACGCUGAGACGCGAAAGCGUGGGGAGCGAACAGG
RNAcentral lists this ribosomal RNA (253 nucleotides) under uncultured bacterium. RNAcentral's name for it is "partial 16S ribosomal RNA". It matches the Rfam family "Bacterial small subunit ribosomal RNA", at positions 524 to 776 of the family's 1533-position model. The record is from RNAcentral.